AGGAUGAACGCUGGCGGUAUGCUUAACACAUGCAAGUCGAACGGAACCUUCGGGUUUAGUGGCGGACGGGUGAGUAACGCGUGAGAAUCUGCCUCUAGGUCGGGGACAACAACUGGAAACGGUUGCUAAUACCCGAUGUGCAGCAAUGUGAAAGAUUUAUUGCCUAGAGAUGAGCUCGCGUCUGAUUAGCUAGUAGGUGUGGUAAUGGCGCACCUAGGCGACGAUCAGUAACUGGUCUGAGAGGAUGACCAGUCACACUGGGACUGAGACACGGCCCAGACUCCUACGGGAGGCAGCAGUGGGGAAUUUUCCGCAAUGGGCGAAAGCCUGACGGAGCAAUACCGCGUGAGGGACGAAGGCUUUUGGGUCGUAAACCUCUUUUCCCUGAGAAGAAGAUCUGACGGUAUCGAGGGGAAUCAGCAUCGGCUAACUUCGUGCCAGCAGCCGC
This 448-nucleotide ribosomal RNA is filed under the name uncultured bacterium. Its description in RNAcentral is "SSU rRNA". It matches the Rfam family "Bacterial small subunit ribosomal RNA", at positions 26 to 518 of the family's 1533-position model. The record is from RNAcentral.